CGGGCUUGCUGGGCCUGCGUGGGCACCCACACCACAGAUGACCGCGCUGACCGCUGGGCUGGUGGUGACGGGGGGGGGACAAGCCCGGUCUCUCAGACAGUCCCUCCUUCCUGCAGAGAAGUCUGCCCGCCGGGGGCAGCGACAGACCUGUGCCAGGGCCUGGGGUUCGGCUUGGAGCUGGGUAACAGAUGGGAAAACAAAGGCUGAGAGAGGAGAAGCAACAGCCUGAAGUCUCCAGGUCGGCAGCAGCCCCGGGCCACUUGUGUGGACAAGGCCAGUCGAGUGCGCUCCCUCGUGGGGACUCGGGGAAGGACGUGCAGUUAUGGCAAUGUCACCUGCGUUCAGCCCGAGGGUGCUGGCACGGAUCAGGCAGCAGGCAUACUUCCUGGUGUUGUUCACGUGGUCCUCCUCCCAGCGCCUCAGGGUGGACACAUGAGCUGUGGCCUCUCAGAGCCCAGGCCCUGUCCCAGGAGGACCUGGAGAGGGACCGAGAGGCACCCGGAGCCUUUCCAGAGCUGUUUCCUGAGCAGCCACGACGGCCUGGGUAAAGGCACACCAGCCUCGCUGGGUGCUUCCUGCAAACACUUCUCCACCAGAGGAGGUGCAGAGUGACGCACCAGCAGUCUUCACAGGAUGGGCAGGGCCUCAGAAGCAAUCCAGCACUGGCAAGGGCAGUUCUCCUGGGGCUGUCUGGGGUUGGGUUUCCUUUCUCCUGUGCAUUUUAUUUAAGAUAACUAGACGCAAAUUUGAUGCUUUUCCCCCUAAACCUACAGUCAGGAGCCCAGGUGGGAAGAUGUGGGAGCACAGAAUCUAGACUCAAACUGACUCAGUUCAGGACUUUCUUCUGCACCGCUUGGGCAAAUCGCUUGAACUCUCCCAAACUACCUGCCUGAUCUAGUAAUACCCAAGGCUUUCAGGGUACAUAAACGGUGUAAGUCAGGAACACUCACACCGUGCGGGGCACAAGCAAGCUCCCAAUCGAUAUCUGUUGCUAUUAUUGCCUCCGGAUCAGCUACUUUCGUGUUCGGUCUCCUAGCAGAAGGAAACCACCCAAGUCCUGUCAGAAACUUCCAGUUUCUGAGUCAGCUGCUGCCCACCAUUGCUCAAUAGUUCAGCUACAAACUGAUCUAAAACUGAAACACAAAGCCUUCCUCAAGGUUCCCCAGUGACUGACUGUUGUUUCCCUAUUUACUUUUGUGGGGUCCCAGAUUCAAGGGCUGAUAGAUCACCCUAACCACUGAGACUCAGAUGCUCACCCUUCACCCCAGGAGAUAAGACGUCGCUGGAGAGGAGAAGGAGACAUUGCUGUUUUCUGUCCAAGUUUUCCCCAAGCCAGUGACACAUGAGCCUCCCCAGCUCAUAUAUUAUUUGGCCUAAUUACCGGUGAAUGUCAAUCCAUGAAAUCAAAAUAUUCCUAAUGAUUUAGAAUUUUGUUUUCAUAAAAACUAAACUUAAAUGGAGUGUUUGUCCCUCGUGACUUGCGUUGGAAGACACACCUUGUGAGCUGUGAGCUGGGGGCUUCACUAGUCACACACAGAUCAGAGUUAGCUCAGCCAAGACCGAGGGGCACCACGGGGCGUGGUGGACUCGGUGGAAAGAGAGCAGCAGCGCACCCCGUGGCCUGGGGCCCACCCUGUCCAGCCCCUCCACCCUGGGCAGCGAGGUUCCCUGAGCGUCUCUUAUGCGCCCAAUAUUGGC
Long non-coding RNA from Heterocephalus glaber (naked mole-rat), 1698 nucleotides. The record is from Ensembl. NCBI's taxonomy places the organism in Eukaryota, Metazoa, Chordata, Mammalia, Rodentia, Bathyergidae.